CCUACGGGAGGCAGCAGUGGGGAAUAUUGGACAAUGGGGGAAACCCUGAUCCAGCGACGCCGCGUGAGUGAAGAAGUAUUUCGGUACGUAAAGCUCUAUCAGCAGGAAAGAAAAUGACGGUACCUGACUAAGAAGCCCCGGCUAACUACGUGCCAGCAGCCGCGGUAAUACGUAGGGGGCAAGCGUUAGCCGGAUUUACUGGGUGGAAAGGGAGCGUAGACGGCAGCGCAAGUCUGGAGUGAAAUGCCGGGGCCCAACCCCGGAACUGCUCUGGAAACUGUGAAGCUGGAGUGCAGGAGAGGUAAGCGGAAUUCCUGGUGUAGCGGUGAAAUGCGUAGAUAUCAGGAGGAACACCGGCGGCGAAGGCGGCUUACUGGACUGUAACUGACGUUGAGGCUCGAAGGCGUGGGGAGCAAACAGGAUUAGAUACCCUAGUAGUC
This 440-nucleotide ribosomal RNA is filed under the name uncultured bacterium. Its description in RNAcentral is "partial 16S ribosomal RNA". It matches the Rfam family "Bacterial small subunit ribosomal RNA", at positions 338 to 795 of the family's 1533-position model. The record is from RNAcentral.